GAUGAACGCUGGCGGCGGGCCUAAUACAUGCAAGUCGAGCGAACAGACGAGGAGCUUGCUCCUCUGACGUUGGCGGCGGACGGGUGAGUAACACGUGGAUAACCUACCUAUAAGACUGGGAUAACUUCGGGAAACCGGAGCUAAUACCGGAUAAUAUAUUGAACCGCAUGGUUCAAUAGUGAAAGACGGUUUUGCUGUCACUUAUAGAUGGAUCCGCGCCGCAUUAGCUAGUUGGUAAGGUAACGGCUUACCAAGGCAACGAUGCGUAGCCGACCUGAGAGGGUGAUCGGCCACACUGGAACUGAGACACGGUCCAGACUCCUACGGGAGGCAGCAGUAGGGAAUCUUCCGCAAUGGGCGAAAGCUUGACGGAGCAACGCCGCGUGAGUGAUGAAGGUCUUCGGAUCGUAAAACUCUGUUAUUAGGGAAGAACAAAUGUGUAAGUAACUAUGCACGUCUUGACGGUACCUAAUCAGAAAGCCACGGCUAACUACGUG
This 497-nucleotide ribosomal RNA is filed under the name uncultured bacterium. Its description in RNAcentral is "partial 16S ribosomal RNA". It matches the Rfam family "Bacterial small subunit ribosomal RNA", at positions 28 to 507 of the family's 1533-position model. The record is from RNAcentral.